AUUGAACGCUGGCGGCAUGCCUUACACAUGCAAGUCGAACGGCAGCACGGGAGCAAUCCUGGUGACGAGUGGCGAACGGGUGAGUAAAGUAUCGGAACGUGCCCAGUCGUGGGGGAUAACGUAGCGAAAGUUACGCUAAUACCGCAUACGAUCUAUGGAUGAAAGCGGGGGAUCGCAAGACCUCGCGCGAUUGGAGCGGCCGAUAUCAGAUUAGGUAGUUGGUGGGGUAAAGGCUCACCAAGCCGACGAUCUGUAGCUGGUCUGAGAGGACGACCAGCCAGACUGGGACUGAGACACGGCCCAGACUCCUACGGGAGGCAGCAGUGGGGAAUUUUGGACAAUGGGCGAAAGCCUGAUCCAGCCAUGCCGCGUGCAGGAUGAAGGCCUUCGGGUUGUAAACUGCUUUUGUACGGAACGAAAAGGUUUGGCCUAAUAAGCUGAGCUCAUGACGGUACCGUAAGAAUAAGCACCGGCUAACUACGUGCCAGCAGCCGCGGUAA
This 500-nucleotide ribosomal RNA is filed under the name uncultured bacterium. Its description in RNAcentral is "partial 16S ribosomal RNA". It matches the Rfam family "Bacterial small subunit ribosomal RNA", at positions 30 to 523 of the family's 1533-position model. The record is from RNAcentral.